UCAGCGGGGGAUAACUAUUGGAAACGAUAGCUAAUACCGCAUAACAAUGUUGGAUGCAUAUUCGACAUUUGAAAGUACCAAUUGGUACACUGAGAGAUGGACCCACGUUGUAUUAGCUAGUUGGUAGUGUAAUGGACUACCAAGGCGAUGAUACAUAGCCGACCUGAGAGGGUGAUCGGCCACAUUGGGACUGAGACACGGCCCAAACUCCUACGGGAGGCAGCAGUAGGGAAUCUUCGGCAAUGGACGAAAGUCUGACCGAGCAACGCCGCGUGAGUGAAGAAGGUUUUCGGAUCGUAAAACUCUGUUGUUAGAGAAGAACGUUGCAUAGAGUGGAAAAUUAUGCAAGUGACGGUAUCUAACCAGAAAGGGACGGCUAACUACGUGCCAGCAGCCGCGGUAAUACGUAGGUCCCGAGCGUUGUCCGGAUUUAUUGGGCGUAAAGCGAGCGCAGGUGGUUUAAUAAGUCUGAUGUAAAAGGCAGUGGCUCAACCAUUGUGUGCAUUGGAAACUGUUAGACUUGAGUGCAGUAGAGGAGAGUGGAAUUCCAUGUGUAGCGGUUGAAAUGCGUAGAUAUAUGGAGGAACACCGGUGGCGAAAGCGGCUCUCUGGACUGUCACUGACACUGAGGCUCGAAAGCGUGGGUAGCAAACAGGAUUAGAUACCCUGGUAGUCCACGCCGUAAACGAUGAGUGCUAGUUGUUUGGGGCUAUCCAGCCCUAAGUGACGCAGCAAACGCAUUAAGCACUCCGCCUGGGGAGUACGACCGCAAGGUUGAAACUCAAAGGAAUUGACGGGGGCCCGCACAAGCGGUGGAGCAUGUGGUUUAAUUCGAAGCAACGCGAAGAACCUUAC
This 855-nucleotide ribosomal RNA is filed under the name uncultured bacterium. Its description in RNAcentral is "bacterial SSU rRNA". It matches the Rfam family "Bacterial small subunit ribosomal RNA", at positions 133 to 974 of the family's 1533-position model. The record is from RNAcentral.